Molecule: ribosomal RNA, 252 nt
Filed under: uncultured bacterium
Lineage: Bacteria
Description: partial 16S ribosomal RNA
Rfam family: Bacterial small subunit ribosomal RNA
Source: RNAcentral
UACGUAGGUCCCGAGCGUUGUCCGGAUUUAUUGGGCGUAAAGCGAGCGCAGGUGGUUUAUUAAGUCUGGUGUAAAAGGCAGUGGCUCAACCAUUGUAUGCUUUGGAAACUGUUCAACUUGAGUGCAGAAGGGGAGAGUGGAAUUCCAUGUGUAGCGGUGGAAUGCGUAGAUAUAUGGAGGAACACCGGUGGCGAAAGCGGCUCUCUGGUCUGUAACUGACGCUGAGGCUCGAAAGCGUGGGUAGCGAACAGG